GAUUGGUUAGAAUGGGGCAGCAGUAGGAGAACAUUUUACUAAAGUAAACGCAGAAUACAAAUGCUCUGUUGAACUAGUUGAACUACUUCAGUAAGAGUUAUCAAAACAAGUAGCUGCAAACUUAAACAUAUGUCAACUAAAUUAGACCCUGAGCCUUCAGUUAUCAAGCUCCUCUUUUGUGGAACCGGCUUCACUUUGAGUCCAGGGAGCAGAUACAGUCAGCUCAUUUAAGAUAAAGCUUGAGACUUUCCUCUUUGGUAUCACUUAUAUUGAAAGCUGCCUCAGGUUAGCCUGGACCAGCCCUUAGGUAAGCUGCUAAAGGCCUAAACUGCCGGUUCUAUCUGGAUCCUGGUCCUGGAUCCGGACAUGGCCCUGCUGACACCUGCUGCUGCUAUCAUUAUUAUUAGUCACAUUACUAUUACGGUCAUCAUAAACCACCGUUACUUACUUUGUUUCUUUCCUGAACUCUUUGUGUGCUUUCGGUUAUAUCUGAUGGCAGUUACAUCUAAUCUUUAUUAGGUUAUAUUUGAUGGCGGUUAUAUUUGAUGAUGGUUAUAUCUGAUAAUGGUUAUAAUCUGAUGGUGGUUACAUUUGAUGAUGGUGACAUCUGAUGGUGGUUACAUCUGAUAAUGGUUAUAUCUGAUGGUGGUUACAUUUGAUGAUGGUUACAUCUGAUGAUGGUUAUAUCUGAUGGUGGUUACAUCUGAUGGUGGUUGCAUCUGAUGGUGGUUAUAUUUGAUGGUGGUUGUAAUUCAUGGUGGUUGUAUCUGAUGGUUGUUGUUCCGGCAGUCGUCCUUCCUUAUAACUGGUUUACUACUCUGAAUAUUUUAAUCAUUUCUCAUUGUAUGAAAUGAAAGUACUGUACAUAUUUUACAUUGUUCAUUCUUUACACAUGACACCCUUUGCAUACUCUCCAUCCCAGGAAAAGGAUCUUCUCCCGUUGGGUUUCCGGACAAGGGAUGUUACAUGCGUAUAGACUGUAAAGCUGAGGCAAAUUUGUCAUUUGUGAUUUUGGGCGAUAUGAAAUAAAAUAAAUUAAAG
Molecule: long non-coding RNA, 1041 nt
Organism: Gasterosteus aculeatus aculeatus (three-spined stickleback)
Lineage: Eukaryota; Metazoa; Chordata; Actinopteri; Perciformes; Gasterosteidae
Source: Ensembl